RNAcentral lists this non-coding RNA (31 nucleotides) under Mus musculus (house mouse). The record is from RNAcentral. Lineage: Eukaryota; Metazoa; Chordata; Mammalia; Rodentia; Muridae. RNAcentral also lists the same sequence under 1 other name.
UGUAACAAACUACCCCACCAUUUAGCAGCUU